UUUGUCCUCGCUCAGGGCUUUAUAUAUGCACCCAAACUUGCAAACAUGCCCAAGCAUGUACGUUCGCACGCUCGCACACACCUCCUCAGAAAGGAUAGAAUCCUUUUUUCUGUUCAACUGACACACCACACAAACGGACACUACAGACAGCAUCUGUGGUGAACGGGACAUUUAACAAUCAACUAAAGCACACACAAACAGGAUUUGUUUGUGGAAUCUAUGUAAUCUGCUUUAGGAAUCGAAGAGACACUGUGAUUACUAUAGAUUAUGUUUCAUCGUCAGAAGAAAGAUCAUCCUCAGAAACGGUUACUUCUGGUGGUUGUGGGCGGAGCUAGUUACUUGUUUGCUCUUGUAACCAACGUUCCUCGUGACAACAAAGGUUUUGAAGGUGGAUGUGGCCCACCCAGGGCAUCCAUCAUCAGGAUAGUAGUCUGGUGUUGUUCCUCUCACAACAAGUCUGCCUAUAUAAACUGCAUCGCACGGACCCAAAGCCUAUCUGUCAAGCAGGAAAUCUGGGAUGAUUUUGUAUUGUUCAUUGAACUGCUGACCUUUUCCAAUUCGCAUUGGCUUUUCUUACAAGUACAGCAGCCUAACAGCUUAAGCUAUUUCAGACGGUGAGUGCCUGUCGAUCAAACCCGGGUUUCUGAGGUAAAUGCGAAUGAGGCGUAUGUCACGCCGGCACCACCAAGAACAUUGGCUUCUGGAUUAAAUCUCUUCAUCGCUUGGUGAAAUCAUUGUUUCAGACAUGAUAUCACAACACAACCUGUUUAAAUGUUCCAUCCAGUGUCAUGCUCAUUUCCCUCUUGCCGUCUCUCUCACUCAGCUUUACUGAGAAAUAAUUAAGUGACCUGCGGCUGCCGUCAGUGUUGUUGAGGCCAGCACGCAAACAGAUGUCUUAAUGCCUCUCUGCAGUGUGCAGUGGCUAUGAUGAUGUUUGUCUUGUUAAUCAAAAUCAAAAAUGUCGCUGGUGGUUUCAUUUUCCCAGACCCAUCGUUAAGCCUUCUCCUGGGCUUAUUCAGGAGGACACAGGUUCAGGUGGUCGACAUGGAAAUGCAUCGCCUUGCAUUUGGUGGACGUAGAACUGACGUUUUAAUAUUGUUUCGUAGAAUAUGAAAGUGUCAGCUCUGUGUGUUGCACUGCCGUCUGCAACGUCGUUACAUUUCGCAACCAACUGAGUAAGCCAGGGGUGCCUCUGAGUGUGUUAUACAGCAAAGAAAGCUAUAUUAUUUCAAUAAUGAAUUGUAAGGUUUAGUUUUGUGUACAUUGGUAUUUGUAAGUGUUUAUAUACUGGAAUGUACAAUGGGACUUGCGCAUUGUUCUGUAGCAUUCUAGGUUGUUUGAUUAGACUCAUGAACAUUAUGGUUGUUUAAAUAGUCACAGAUGAUAGGAAGUGGGAGACGUGGACAACUGUAUUCAAGCUUAUGAAAAAUGUUUACCCUUUGUGUCAGUAAUUUUGCUCAUGCUAGAGUUUAUGCUAAUUUCAAUAUUAGCUUCAUUGUUUUUGCCGUGGAAUAUUUAUAUAAGCUAGCACUUUGUAUGAAUUAGGCUGUCACAUCCACAUUUUGUAUUUCAGACUAAAUCAAGUGUCUGUUUAUUAUCUCUCGUGAAUGCGUAGUGAAAUCUGUUUUUAGAUUGUUUUGAAUUUACCAUGGAGAAACCUAUCUAUAAGUUUCAGUGACAUUCUUUCAAAUAUUGCCUUGAUAUUUAGCACAAAGAUAAUAAUGUGUGAGUGUUGAUGAACAUAAAGUCUAGGAAUCCCUCCUCAAGAGUAUUUAUGUAUCCUAUGGCCAUACAGUGUGGAUGAGGUCAGGGGUGUCAUACUCCUUUCACCCCAGAGCCCAUAUUUGGUCUUUGACAAAGUCUAGAGGGCCACAAUGAAAAAGGAUUAGUGUUUCGUGGCAUCAACACCCUUUUUGGUGUUGUUAGUUGUCCUGUUGCAGUCUAGCUCGCAUUUCUAUGGUUAUUAGCUAGUUGAUAAACUAUAUGAAUGUAAUUCCAUGAUCAUUUCUAAACGGUGACGACUGUUCAGUGUAUUGUGAUCUUAUCAUAAAAAAAUAAAAGGAAAUGUUUAUAUAUUUUUUGUUGAUUUUUACUCAAACCACCUGCAGGCCGGAUUAAUCGCCCGGGGGCCAUUUUCGACAACCUUGGUAUUGAGUUUCAUUUCAAGACGUACAGCAACUCAUCAGUAUCUUUGUGUAAUCAUGCUGUAACUAAACUAAUGUAUUUUAUUUUUGUACAAUCCCAUGUCACCUGUGUCAAAAGGUUAUCUUAAUGUUCUUCUGUGUCGCCAUUCAAAGAGCCAGAUGUGAGUGGACACUAGCUGCGUGAGCUGAACAUUGCCGGCUCAGAUUUAGUUUGUCUCUUUGUUUGUUUGUUUUUAGGUGGAAGUUAUUUUGAGUUUUAAAAUUUAGUUUGACAUCAUUUGAUAGGAUCUGGUUCGAAGGGCUUAUUAUUUGACAGGUUUCUCAUGCUGACGUUAGGGUGUUCUAUAGCAUUAUUUUUCGGUUUUUGUUUCAUGUUCCGUAUCUUUCAAAAAGAUACACAAUAAAUGUAUAAUAUCCUUAAA
Long non-coding RNA from Esox lucius (northern pike), 2566 nucleotides. Lineage: Eukaryota; Metazoa; Chordata; Actinopteri; Esociformes; Esocidae. The record is from Ensembl.